CCCUUAGAUGUCCUGGGCCGCACGCGCGCUACACUGAGUGUCUGAGAUACGAGUCUGCCUGGUCCGGCAAGGUCUAGGUAAUCGCUAAAAGACACAUCAUGCUUGGGAUAGAUUAUUGCAAAUAUUAAUCUUGAACGAGGAAUUCCUAGUAAGCGCAAGUCAACAGCUUGCGUUGAUUACGUCCCUGCCCUUUGUACACACCGCCCGUCGCUACUACUGAUUGGAUGUUAAAGCGAGGUUCUCGAACUGCUAGCGACUUAGCUUCGGUGAGGUCGCCGUGUGGGAAGUGAACCUAGCUUUGGUGUCUAGAGGAAGUAAAAGUCGUAUCA
This 329-nucleotide ribosomal RNA is filed under the name uncultured eukaryote. Its description in RNAcentral is "partial 18S ribosomal RNA". It matches the Rfam family "Eukaryotic small subunit ribosomal RNA", at positions 1470 to 1796 of the family's 1831-position model. The record is from RNAcentral.